GAAUUCGCCCUUAGAGUUUGAUCCUGGCUCAGGAUGAACGCUGGCGGCGUGCUUAACACAUGCAAGUCGAACAGAGCUUAGAGAGCUUGCUUUUUAAGCUUAGUGGCGAACGGGUGAGUAACGCGUGAGUAACCUGCCCUAGAGUGGGGGACAACAGUUGGAAACGACUGCUAAUACCGCAUAAGCCCACGGUACCGCAUGGUACUGAGGGAAAAGGAUUUAUUCGCUUUAGGAUGGACUCGCGUCCAAUUAGCUAGUUGGUGAGGUAACGGCCCACCAAGGCGACGAUUGGUAGCCGGACUGAGAGGUUGAACGGCCACAUUGGGACUGAGACACGGCCCAGACUCCUACGGGAGGCAGCAGUGGGGGAUAUUGCACAAUGGGGGAAACCCUGAUGCAGCGACGCCGCGUGGAGGAAGAAGGUUUUCGGAUUGUAAACUCCUGUCGUUAGGGACGAUAAUGACGGUACCUAACAAGAAAGCACCGGCUAACUACGUGCCAGCAGCCGCGGUAAAACGUAGGGCGCAAGCGUUGUCCGGAAUUACUGGGUGUAAAGGGAGCGCAGGCGGGAAGACAAGUUGGAAGUGAAAACCAUGGGCUCAACCCAUGAAUUGCUUUCAAAACUGUUUUUCUUGAGUAGUGCAGAGGUAGAUGGAAUUCCCGGUGUAGCGGUGGAAUGCGUAGAUAUCGGGAGGAACACCAGUGGCGAAGGCGGUCUACUGGGCACCAACUGACGCUGAGGCUCGAAAGCAUGGGUAGCAAACAGGAUUAGAUACCCUGGUAGUCCAUGCCGUAAACGAUGAUUACUAGGUGUUGGGGGAUUGACCCCCUCAGUGCCGCAGUUAACACAAUAAGUAAUCCACCUGGGGAGUACGACCGCAAGGUUGAAACUCAAAGGAAUUGACGGGGGCCCGCACAAGCAGUGGAGUAUGUGGUUUAAUUCGAAGCAACGCGAAGAACCUUACCAGGUCUUGACAUCCGAUGCAUAACACAGAGAUGUGUGAAAUCCUUCGGGACAUCGAGACAGGUGGUGCAUGGUUGUCGUUAGCUCGUGUCGUGAGAUGUUGGGUUAAGUCCCGCAACGAGCGCAACCCUUAUCUUUAGUAGCCAGCGGUUAAGCCGGGCACUCUAGAGAGACUGCCAGGGAUAACCUGGAGGAAGGCGGGGAUGACGUCAAAUCAUCAUGCCCCUUAUGACUUGGGCUACACACGUGCUACAAUGGCGUAAACAAAGGGAAGCAAAGCUGUGAAGCCGAGCAAAUCUCAAAAAUAACGCCUCAGUUCGGACUGUAGUCUGCAACCCGACUACACGAAGCUGGAAUCGCUAGUAAUCGCAGAUCAGAAUGCUGCGGUGAAUACGUUCCCGGGUCUUGCACUCACCGCCCGUCA
Molecule: ribosomal RNA, 1388 nt
Filed under: uncultured bacterium
Lineage: Bacteria
Description: bacterial SSU rRNA
Rfam family: Bacterial small subunit ribosomal RNA
Source: RNAcentral